UUAUUAAAAUUUUAUUUAUUUAUAUUGUUAAAAACUAGUGUAAUUGACGAAAUAAUUAGACAGUAAUAUAUGAUCUAUCACGUGUACAUCAUGCUGACAUAAAUAAACCAAUUUUUAAUAAUAAAAAUAGAUAAACCUUUAAUAA
Gossypium raimondii (Peruvian cotton) is the source of this 145-nucleotide non-coding RNA. The record is from Rfam. NCBI's taxonomy places the organism in Eukaryota, Viridiplantae, Streptophyta, Magnoliopsida, Malvales, Malvaceae.